GAUUCACAUAUAAAAAGAAUGAGGAUUGAAACUUCUUAAGGGUAUGCAAACGUAGACCUUGGUCAUGGUUGCAAUUAAUAGGAAGUUAUAAAGAAGGAGAGGUUCACAUAUAAAUAUAUCAUCUCUGACACCAUCUAUGAUUGUGAACAGUCACUAAACAAUUGCAUGCCUAGAAGUAGAUGUUGGACAAGGAAUACAACAUAAUGAAUUGUGUUUGCUUGGCUCCGAACAAUAUUAUAUGAUUAGAGAUCACUUAGCAUGUGAAGAUUGCUUCCACCUCACAUUAGCCAAACCUCCCGCACUAACUAGAGAAACUACUUGUGCAUCCAAAAACCUUCAACCCAGUUUUGCCAUGUGAGUCCACCAUACCUACCUAUAGAUUGAAUAAGAUCCCUCAAGUAAGUUGUCAUUGGUGCAAGCAAUAAAAAUUGCUCUUUAAUAUGUAUGAUAUAUUAGUGUGUGAAAAAUAAGCUUUGUAUGAACCUAUGAUACAUAAAAGCGACAGACUGCAUAAUAAAGUUCCUUAUCACAGAAGGCAAUAUAAAGUGACGUUCCUCCGCACUAAGAGGAC
This 571-nucleotide long non-coding RNA is filed under the name Hordeum vulgare. RNAcentral's name for it is "long non-coding RNA (HVUL_LNC004214)". Lineage: Eukaryota; Viridiplantae; Streptophyta; Magnoliopsida; Poales; Poaceae. The record is from RNAcentral.